Molecule: long non-coding RNA, 2202 nt
Organism: Gavialis gangeticus (Gharial)
Lineage: Eukaryota; Metazoa; Chordata; Crocodylia; Gavialidae
Exons: 2
Source: RefSeq, a predicted model, not a curated record
CACCGAGUCAUGUCAGAGCAGCCCUCAGCUGGCAAGCUGACCCCAGGGCUGCGCCGCCCUGGCUCAACGUGCUAUGGUCAUGCACACAUGUUGCAACGUGCCCAUUUGUAAAUACUGCUCCUGGGAGCAAUAAACUCCAGUGCAAACUGAACCAGAGCUUUUCGUGGCAUUAAUAUUCAUGUGUUGAUGCACUCACUGUUGUCUAAAAAAAUGUAAAAGCCUCUAGCCAAGUACACUUUUUAGUUACUUUGGUUAAAAAGAAACCUUUCCCCAGUGUGAACUGGUAUUAAGUAUAUGGUUGCCUUCUAAACUUGCAGAUGGAGAGACUUAAUGUCUCUGCUCCUACUCAGUAGGCUUUCCAAGUUUCAACAGACAGAGAACUGAGCAGCCUCUACUUGUUUUUCCAUAAUGCUACUGGGAUCUCUAUAGACAGCAGUGAUAUUUAUAAGGAUCAGGUCAGUUUUAUUCUGUAGCUGCAGAUGCAGACACUGGGCUGUUCACAAUAGAGAAGGACCAUAAACACAAAGUUAAGGAGAGUUUAAAUAGCAAAGAUGCCAAGACACCAUUUGCAAGAGCCAAGAACCUGACAGCAGAAUGAAGUAAUAGAGAUUUCCCCAGAACUGGAAUGGAGGAUCAGUAGCUUUGAAGUUGAUAGCGAGUUAAAAAUUGAGUCAAUAUUUGGAAGUUAGCUUACACAGGGAGUACAAGACACGCCCAACCCUUUCUUAUGUUGGAAAAAGAUGACAAAAAGAGAGAACUUGUGUCCAGGAGACAUGACUUCUUGGGUAGAGAUUUUAGCAACUGGAAAAUGAUGGUGGAGGAUAUUUAGCUUUCCAGUGCAAUAUUGUUUCUGGCAAGUGGGUCCUUCAAUGCUAGCAAAGAUCUUUAGCUACAGCCUUAGUCCUACAUUCACGAAUUGGUUUCUAAGUGUAUUUUUCUAGCACGCUGAAUAAUUUACCUGACGUGCAUCACAUCAAGAACUAGAUCUGUAAGCAGGGUUAGAGGAAAAAAAAGAAGCACUUCCACACAUCCUAGCCCCUCAGUCCAAACACCAUGAGCAUGUAAGUUAAUAGUUAUUUAUUCCUCACAAAAUGGUUAUUUAUUCCUCACUGUAUUAGCUUUAAUACCUAGUCAAUUGGCUACCUUAUUUCCAAGAGUGUAGAACACAAGCAGUAGCCUAGCUAUAACUACAUCAGUCUGGUGCAUAUUUUGCAAACUGUUCAUUUUUCCCUAUCUGGAUAGUCCUACUGUGAGGAAUACCUGUCAGGACUAUGUGGUUGUAGGUACCUCUGAUCUUAAAGGAGAGGCAGUUUCAUGUUCAUGAUAAAAGAGUUCACAUAGAAAAAAAGAGAAGGCCACACUUGGAAAUAUGCAGAGGAAGGAACAGAGUCUGUUCCUGCAUCACUUUCAAGAUUUUUACUAACUUUCUCACAAAUCAUAAAUACUAGAAAUUCAUGAAAUUCUCUUCACAACAUAUCAGUAUAAUUUGGAAGUAUGAAAUUACACAGGCAAGAUCAUAAAGAAAACUUUCACUUGGUCCCUGUACAGCCAUCCCCUGGAGAAGCUUCUUUAAAAUGGAGAGUGAAUUAAUAAUUUCUUUAGACUAUAAAAAAGAUGAGCGUGCAUGAAAGAUGGAUUGGGUGGAUGCUUUCAGAGUGGAGUGGAAUCAUGGGAAAAAAUAUAAUUAGCCUUAAGUGUUUUAAAUGCACACUUAAAAAUAAUUUGAGUUUUUUACUAAAAGUGGAAUCUUAAUUGGAAUUUCCAGACUGUUAGUUUUUAAAGAAAAAAGCACUGUUUUGGCAGGUUUUUGUCUGAAAAGCCAUGGGGUCCUUCAAACUUAAUUCCAGAUUAAUGAAGACUUUUUACCUGGGAAUUAUACAUGAAUUUCUGUAGAAACAUAUUCAAUUUGGACACUACAAAAAUAUUAGAUAGUAUUAGAUAACAGUACUACUAAUAAUUUACAUGUUUUGUGCUACAUUUAAGUAAUAAUGCCAGUUGAAAAUUAUUUUUAAAUCAAAAAAUGAAUGGAUUCUGAAAAACAGAGGAAGAAGAUGAAUCUGUUGGAAAACAGAACUGUAGUGUAUCAUUUUGAAUUCUGAUGUCCUCCCAUUUCAGAGCUUGAAAAUGGGGAGAAAAGAGAGAAUAAAAUUAAGCAGAUCCAUUGUGUAUAAUUCAUGCUGUCAGACACUUCCUGAAUUAAAA